GUCAGCGACCAUACCACGUAGAAAACACCGGUUCUCGUCCGAUCACCGAAGUUA
RNAcentral lists this ribosomal RNA (54 nucleotides) under Mesocestoides corti. Lineage: Eukaryota; Metazoa; Platyhelminthes; Cestoda; Cyclophyllidea; Mesocestoididae. The record is from RNAcentral.